GGCCUGGCAUAGUGGUUUGGGUGUUGGACUAUAAUGCUGGAGACCAGGGUUUGAUUCCCUGCUCAGCCA
Non-coding RNA from Phrynosoma platyrhinos (Desert horned lizard), 69 nucleotides. The record is from the annotation of a GenBank genome assembly. Lineage: Eukaryota; Metazoa; Chordata; Lepidosauria; Squamata; Phrynosomatidae.